This 252-nucleotide ribosomal RNA is filed under the name uncultured bacterium. Its description in RNAcentral is "partial 16S ribosomal RNA". It matches the Rfam family "Bacterial small subunit ribosomal RNA", at positions 524 to 776 of the family's 1533-position model. The record is from RNAcentral.
UACGGAGGAUGCGAGCGUUAUCCGGAUUUAUUGGGUUUAAAGGGUGCGUAGGCGGGUUAUCAAGUCAGCGGUAAAAUCGUGGAGCUCAACUCCAUCCAGCCGUUGAAACUGAUGAUCUUGAGUGGGCGAGAAGUAUGCGGAAUGCGUGGUGUAGCGGUGGAAUGCGUAGAUAUUAGGAGGAACACCAGUGGCGAAGGCGGUUUGCUGGGCCAUUACUGACGCUCAUGCACGAAAGCGUGGGGAGCAAAUAGG